This 301-nucleotide ribosomal RNA is filed under the name uncultured bacterium. Its description in RNAcentral is "partial 16S ribosomal RNA". It matches the Rfam family "Bacterial small subunit ribosomal RNA", at positions 509 to 807 of the family's 1533-position model. The record is from RNAcentral.
CAGUAGCCACGGGAAUACAGAGGGUGCGAGCGUUAAUCGGAUUUACUGGGCGUAAAGCGUGCGUAGGCGGCUUCUUAAGUCGGAUGUGAAAUCCCUGAGCUUAACUUAGGAAUUGCAUUCGAUACUGGGAAGCUAGAGUAUGGGAGAGGAUGGUUGAAUUCCAGGUGUAGCGGUGAAAUGCGUAGAGAUCUGGAGGAAUACCGAUGGCGAAGGCAGCCAUCUGGCCUAAUACUGACGCUGAGGUACGAAAGCAUGGGGAGCAAACAGGAUUAGAUACCCCAGUAGUCCCUGUCUCUUAUAC